Molecule: long non-coding RNA, 1510 nt
Filed under: Chinchilla lanigera (long-tailed chinchilla)
Lineage: Eukaryota; Metazoa; Chordata; Mammalia; Rodentia; Chinchillidae
Description: lncRNA (ENSCLAG00000028237.1)
Source: RNAcentral
CAUGGGACACGGAAGUGGUCCCCCCAGCAGACAGGGGAUUGGGUGGGUCCCUGCCUGUCUAAGCUUCAAGAAGGCCCUCAACCUGUCCUCAGACUUCAGCCCUCACCAGCCAGCCACUCUGGUCUCUACCUACCUUCGGUGACACUGAGGAUUGUAUUUACAAGUUACUCAAUCGGCUGCCUUCACGGGCCCCCAAAGGAACCCCAGAUCAGGCUGGCCGGGACCAGGUGCUUCUCUCCGACGUCCAGAGUGAAUUCUAGGUGGCAGAGCCCGGGCGCCUUUGAUUGUACAUCUGCGGAGCUCACAAGGUCAAGCACCUGCUGUGUAUGAGGGACCAUGCUCGGCACAGAUGGCCCGGGGGAGGCUGCAGAAGAUGGGCUGCGUGCCCAUUGCGUAGACGGCAAAACGGAGGCCGGCUCGUCCGGACCAGUUCAUUUUCAAGCACCCACGGUCCAGGCCCGCACAGGCUCACACCUCGCCUCUACACGAUCCCUGGCCGCGCCCCAUUUUCAGAAGCGAGCGGAGGUGCUGGGGCACAGCUGGCUUCCUCCUGUGGCCACAGUAAUUGGGUGACGCGGCUCCCGCACGCCUUCCUGUACCCAGCCAGUACACAGCGACCAGGAGGCGCCCUGGAGUCCCAUCUGGAGAGAGUGGAGACGGUGAAAACAAAACUGAAAUCCCAGGCUGCAGCAGUGAGUUCAGCGGUCCAUCUCUGCCUUGGACCCGGAACCUGCUGUGGAGACAGAGUCGCCGAGUAGGCCCCACCUCCUGCGUCAGCCUGGCCCUGCCCAUCACCCCAGUGGCACGUCCUCAGCAAGCCCUGGAGGCUGGUGCCAGUGUCCCACCCUGAUGACCCAGCAAGGGCGAAGUGGCAGGAAGUGGCCGCACCGAAGCUCAUCUCUCGCCCCCUCGGGCAGCCGCCAGAGAGCAGCCCUGGAGCGGAGGUACUGUGUGGCUUCUGCCGCACCCUUGCCCUCUCUGGGCCCCUGGGCGUACUCUGAGCUGUCAGGCAGAGCAGUGAUGGUGAAGGUGGCAGGUACUCUAGCCAGGGGUUUGUGGACAGGCUGUAGUGGGUGAGGGGCCCAGAGACAGCCCAUGCCGUUUCUGGUGUCUUCAGGAGGAGCCCAGAGGGGGCUCGGUUCCUCAGAAACAGGCCAGAACGGGAUGAGUUGAAGACUGAGCCAGAAGCAGCGGGGCUUCCUCGGGGUUGAAUUUGACCCUCAAAGAACACAGAUUCCAGACAGGCGCAGUGCUGCACGCCCGUCAUCCCAGCGCUUUGGAGGCUGAGGCAGGAGGAUCACAAGUUCAAGCCUGGUCAACUUAACGACACCAUGUCUCAAAAUAAAAAAUAAGAAGGGCUGAGAUGGAGCUCAGUGCAAAGGCCCUGGCUUCCACUCCCAGUAUUGCAAGAAAAAAAAAGAACGAAGAAAGAAUAACAUUAAAUCCUCUUCCAUCACCGUCACCGUUGCCGCCACGGGGCAUGACGGCUCCUGCACACCCAGGACAGAAU